This 447-nucleotide ribosomal RNA is filed under the name uncultured bacterium. Its description in RNAcentral is "bacterial SSU rRNA". It matches the Rfam family "Bacterial small subunit ribosomal RNA", at positions 330 to 793 of the family's 1533-position model. The record is from RNAcentral.
CCCAGACUCCUACGGGAGGCAGCAGUGAGGAAUAUUGCACAAUGGGGGAAACCCUGAUGCAGCGACGCCGCGUGAGUGAGGAAGUAUUUCGGUAUGUAAAGCUCUAUCAGCGGGGAAGAAAAUGACGGUACCUGACUAAGAAGCCCCGGCUAACUACGUGCCAGCAGCCGCGGUAAUACGUAGGGGGCAAGCGUUAUCCGGAUUUACUGGGUGUAAAGGGAGCGUAGACGGAGGAGCAAGUCUGAUGUGAAAAUCCGGGGCCCAACCCCGGAACUGCAUUGGAAACUGUUUAUCUAGAGUGUCGGAGAGGCAAGUGGAAUUCCUAGUGUAGCGGUGAAAUGCGUAGAUAUUAGGAGGAACACCAGUGGCGAAGGCGGCUUACUGGACUGUAACUGACGUUGAGGCUCGAAAGCGUGGGGAGCAAACAGGAUUAGAUACCCCCGUACG